This is a small nucleolar RNA of Eucalyptus grandis, 81 nucleotides long. NCBI's taxonomy places the organism in Eukaryota, Viridiplantae, Streptophyta, Magnoliopsida, Myrtales, Myrtaceae. The record is from RefSeq and is a predicted model, not a curated record.
CACUAUGAUGAAAAACGGGGGAAGCAGCACCGGACUGACCAGAGAAGGAUGUUGCAAAAGAUCGUCCAGUGCCGUCUGGUA